RNAcentral lists this ribosomal RNA (254 nucleotides) under uncultured bacterium. RNAcentral's name for it is "partial 16S ribosomal RNA". It matches the Rfam family "Bacterial small subunit ribosomal RNA", at positions 524 to 776 of the family's 1533-position model. The record is from RNAcentral.
UACGUAGGGUGCGAUCGUUGUCCGGAAUUAUUGGGCGUAAAGAGCUCGUAGGCGGUGUGUCGCGUCGGCCGUGAAAACCUGCAGCUUAACUGUGGGCUUGCGGUCGAUACGGGCAUCACUGGAGUUCGGCAGGGGAGACUGGAAUUCCUGGUGUAGCGGUGAAAUGCGCAGAUAUCAGGAGGAACACCGGUGGCGAAAGCGGCUCUCUGGAACGGUACUGACGCUGAGACGCGAAAGCGUGGGGAGCGAACAGG